GAUGAACGCUGGCGGCGUGCCUAAUACAUGCAAGUCGAGCGAACGGACGAGAAGCUUGCUUCUCUGAUGUUAGCGGCGGACGGGUGAGUAACACGUGGAUAACCUACCUAUAAGACUGGGAUAACUUCGGGAAACCGGAGCUAAUACCGGAUAAUAUUUUGAACCGCAUGGUUCAAAAGUGAAAGACGGUCUUGCUGUCACUUAUAGAUGGAUCCGCGCUGCAUUAGCUAGUUGGUAAGGUAACGGCUUACGAAGGCAACGAUGCAUAGCCGACCUGAGAGGGUGAUCGGCCACACUGGAACUGAGACACGGUCCAGACUCCUACGGGAGGCAGCAGUAGGGAAUCUUCCGCAAUGGGCGAAAGCCUGACGGAGCAACGCCGCGUGAGUGAUGAAGGUCUUCGGAUCGUAAAACUCUGUUAUUAGGGAAGAACAUAUGUGUAAGUAACUGUGCACAUCUUGACGGUACCUAAUCAGAAAGCCACGGCUAACUACGUG
RNAcentral lists this ribosomal RNA (497 nucleotides) under uncultured bacterium. RNAcentral describes it as "partial 16S ribosomal RNA". It matches the Rfam family "Bacterial small subunit ribosomal RNA", at positions 28 to 507 of the family's 1533-position model. The record is from RNAcentral.